Prunus avium (sweet cherry) is the source of this 1330-nucleotide non-coding RNA. The record is from RefSeq and is a predicted model, not a curated record. NCBI's taxonomy places the organism in Eukaryota, Viridiplantae, Streptophyta, Magnoliopsida, Rosales, Rosaceae.
GUAAACUAGUUAUGCUUAAAUUAAGUUCUUUAUUUCAAUUAUCAAAGAGGAAAUUGUACUACGAAAAAUGUGAUUGCCUGUGUGUUAGUUUGAGCUUCAUUUGCACACAGUAUGAGUUGUUUAUAGAGCGAAUGAACAUCAAUAGUCUAUCUAGGUUAUCCUCGCAAAAUUUUAGUUGAGAUUUAGUUAUCCAUUGUACUUCCAUCAAUUAGUACUAUAAUUUGGUCAAUUUGCAAAGUGUUUAAAUUUGAAAUUCGAAUUAUAUUACCAAAGAAUAACCUAUAAAGUGGUGUGAGCUUGUAGAUUGUGUGAUUAGGCUAGGUGAGUCCCACUGCUGGAUACAUAAGGAUCCAUCAAGCAGUUAUCGGAUUGAAGCAAUCACUUACCCUUGAGCAUCUAAUGGGUUAUCACUUUCUGUUUGCAUUGCUAGAGCUGGAGAAAAAGCUGAAAGGAUCAAAACCAAUUUUGGUUAGAAAAGAACCCAAUUCUGGAACACUACUCAAGUGGUCUUUUCUAUGGUGGUGGAGAACCUGGAGAUGCAUAGCCUAGGUUGCUUUGUAUGGAGCCUUGCAAUUUCCAUUCGAACAAAGUGAGUUUGAGUUCUUAACUCAAAAUUUAUCUACUGGUUCCUUUAACUUUGUGUUCAGAACUAAAAUUAUAAUUACUGGUUACUACUUUCCCAUCCAUAGCGUCAAUUGCAGAAAGAUAUUAGGAAUGAGUCAAUUUGACCUUUUAGUUGCCAACAAACUUAGAGAUGGAAUUAGUGAUUCUUCUUUUUCCUUCCCCAUAAAUACUAUGUAAUAUGUGAUAUUCUUAAGUUUUGCACACUGAUGAUGUAAAAUAUGUAUUCUUCUUAAAUUAACCUUUGAUUUCUGUCACAAAGAGGCAGUCUAGAUGAGUUAAUAUCAGCUUUUUACCUGGUUUAAACUGAAUAGAUUCAAGAUUACUUGCCUAUACAGCAAUGACCACAAUGUUUUCCAAUUACCAUAUAAAAAAAGGAAUAGGCAUUGAAGAGAGUCAGCAUAGAAAGACAAUCAGAAAGAAAAGCAUUUGGCAUACACUUUUAGCAAAGAAAUGUAACAUCCACCCGGUAACCUUCGUCACCGUACUCUCUUGAUAGCUUCAAUAGUUCACUGAAAGGCUUGAGAAAUGGGAAAUAGCGUUGGUAAGGUUAUUAAAUUGGGCAGAGAAGCAAAGUAGGGUGAUCCAGUUAUGAGACUAUCUGAUUGAAGAUCUCAUAACUCUGGUGGUCUUUGGGACUGAGACCAUGGACCAAUUGAUAUGUGCCAGUUAUGCUUACCGUGAUGCCCUUAAGCUAUCCUGAAAUUUG